Long non-coding RNA from Homarus americanus (American lobster), 292 nucleotides. RefSeq lists it as uncharacterized. The transcript is spliced from 3 exons. The record is from RefSeq and is a predicted model, not a curated record. Lineage: Eukaryota; Metazoa; Arthropoda; Malacostraca; Decapoda; Nephropidae.
GGCAGUGGGUGGGAAUUUGGGUAUCCAGAGUGGCAGGAGCACUGGUAGGGUCUGUAUGUCCCGUGGUCUUCUGGGCACGGGUGACUAGUGAAUCUCGCGUCUCGCUGCCCGUGUUCAUUCCUCUGGCGGCAGUUGUCUUAUAGCAUGGUGGUGGUGUAAACAUGGGUGCUUGUACUGGAGGAGCCAUGGAGAGGAUACCUGCCCUUCCUCCUACUCUAAGGGGCUCUUGGCUGUGUGUUACUGUGCUGUUAUUUAGCGUACUCCACACUGCAGAAUCGGUUUGGUUAUGAGG